UGGCUUUAUUUUGGAAAAAAGGCAAGCAAUAAAAUCGAGUCAUGUCAAACGCUGAUGAAAUAAAAUACAAAAUCAAGAUGCAGCAAAACAGAAGACUUGAUACUACAGACCCUUAAUGGAUUCAAUCCUCUGAGAGAAUAAAUAUGCAUUUAAUUGUAUUUUAAGACCAUUACAGGUUAAAAAAUGAUAGACAAUUAACCUGGUAACCAUAAUCAGGUUACAUUUAAACCUCUGUGGAGUCUGUGGAGUAGUUAUAAGCAGCUAAUCCGGAGGUAGGACAGGAGCAAAGAUGGUCAGUGAUAUCAUACACACAUACAUCGGCACGGCUGACCGUCACCGCUGUAUGUUCUUGUGGAACAUUUCGUUCCAGAUGUGCUGUUAAAAUAAAGUCAGUAAAAUGAGCGUCAUCUGAGAAGGUUUCUGUCUAGAUCUUGCGUGGCUUUGUGUUCGUUUAUUCGUUCGUUCAUUCACAAGAGCAUUAAUGAGAUCACACUCUGAUGUUGGGAUGUUGAGGAGACUCCAGUUCCAGAUCAUCCUAAAGGUGUCAGAGUCAGGGAUCUGUGCAGAACACUUGAGAUCUUCCACUACAACCCAAACCUCCACACCAUGUCCUUAUGGAGCUCAGGGGCUUUUUUGCACAAGGGCAUGUGGUAACCUAGUGGUUAAGAUGUUGGACUACCAACUGGAAGUUUGUGCCACCAACAGAAAUAGAGGCCCAACGGCGGCAUUUGUUCAGUGCUGAGGCUUGAACCCUGAUCAACAACCCAGAGUCUUAACCACUUGAGCCACCACUGACACACCAAGCUGUGACCUCUGGGCCCCUGAGCAAGACCCUUAACCUUCUAUUGCUCAGUCAUGUAAAAUGAGAUAAAAUGUAAGUCGCUCCAGAUAAAGGAGUCUGCCAAAUGCCAUAAAUGUAAAUUGUCACACCGGAGCAGUGUUUGCGUCUCUGAAAUUUCCCAGUAAAGUGCAAUUGUAAUAUCAGAUGUAAUAUAAAGUCUAAUCUGGAUCAAUACAAAACAAUGUAAAAAAAGUUCCAGUAAUUUAGAAAAAAAAAUGUAUCUUUAAAUGUUAGCUUUUACAACUGAGUUUAGUUUUUAGGUUUAAAACUGGUGCUAAUGAUCUGCUAGGAGACUUAAACUGUUACAGUGUCCGGAUGACCAAAUACAGCAUAAUAACUGUAUUCUGUCUUCAUUUUUUAUAAUACGAGUAAAUAGACCACAGAGAUGUAGUUAAUAAUGAACUUCAUUAUCCAUGUUCUUUCACUUGGAUCACCUCCAGUGAAUUUACGACCGUCAAUCUGAGACGUCCCUUCCUUCGGCUCCGUACGAAGAACGAGGCUUGCCACUGAAGAACUCUUGUUAAAUCACGUCUAACUUUAACAGCUCAGGUUUCACAAGGAACUUCGUGGGAACUGAGAAUAUUUCAUGAGAGAUAUUACUUUACAUUGUAAAAAAAAAAAAAAAAACAAGAAAACAAUUGUGUUGAAAACUUGUCUCAUAAAUGUAACCAAUCUCAUAAAAACCUGAGUUCUGAAUUAUAAGGAAAUGUUUUUAUGGGCCGUCAGACAAGAGCGAGAGUUGUUAGGGUUGUUAGAGUUGGUAGUUGUUCAAACAACAAACCUGUGAAACUUUCAUUAGCGUUCAGAUUCGACAGUAUUUAUGUGCAGGUAGAGAUUUCUGGAAGUGUUGUAAAAGAGAGAUAAUACAUGCUGCGUACAGACGCAACGCGGAAGUUUGUCGACCUCUUGAAGAGAGACGCUUAAGACCUACGCUUUGGACUUAAGCCACCAAAUUAGGGCAUAAUGUCAGCACCAACCACCAGCCACCAACCACCAGCCACCAACCUCGGAUCGACCUUGAGAUACGACUCAAGAAAUGUGCGCUCCUUUCAGAGACCUCGAGUACCUCCUGGAAAAAAAAUAACAAAGUAGGGACCAGAGGUGCGCUCAAACACUCCAUUCCCGCCAUGAGUAAACAGAGAAGCAAACAGUGAGGCUGGCUAAAAUGGUGCCUGGUACAGCGCUGGAACAAAUCUCACACGAGGAGAAAAAAAACGCAGCUGAUAACAACUAUAAUUGGAGAAUGUCGAAUGUGUAUGUAAUUUCUGCCCGAACAAAGACCUUGUCACACUA
This is a long non-coding RNA of Tachysurus vachellii, 2134 nucleotides long. RefSeq lists it as uncharacterized. NCBI's taxonomy places the organism in Eukaryota, Metazoa, Chordata, Actinopteri, Siluriformes, Bagridae. The record is from RefSeq and is a predicted model, not a curated record. The transcript has 2 exons.